RNAcentral lists this ribosomal RNA (458 nucleotides) under uncultured microorganism. Its description in RNAcentral is "bacterial SSU rRNA". It matches the Rfam family "Bacterial small subunit ribosomal RNA", at positions 346 to 795 of the family's 1533-position model. The record is from RNAcentral.
CGGCUGCAGUGAGGAAUAUUGCGCAAUGGGCGAAAGCCUGACGCAGCAACGCCGCGUGGGGGAUGAAGGCUCUUGGGUUGUAAACCCCUGUCGGGCAAGACGAAUGGUCCUUGGGCUAAUAUCCCAGGGAAUUGACGGUAUUGCCAGAGGAAGCCUCGGCUAACUACGUGCCAGCAGCCGCGGUAAUACGUAGGAGGCAAGUGUUGUUCGGAAUUAUUGGGCGUAAAGAGCAUGUAGGCGGCUUUGUAAGUCAGGGGUGAAAUCCCUCGGCUCAACCGAGGAAGUGCCUUUGAAACUACAGAGCUUGAGUAUGAGAGAGGAAAGCGGAAUUUCCAGUGUAGCGGUGAAAUGCGUAGAUAUUGGAAAGAACACCGGUGGCGAAGGCGGCUUUCUGGAUCAUUACUGACGCUGAGAUGCGAAAGCCAGGGGAGCGAACGGGAUUAGAUACCCUGGUAGUC